AACGCGAAGAACCUUACCUGGACUUGACAUCCCCCUGGAUGCAGCGUAACGGCUGCAGGCCUCCGGGACAGGGGAGACAGGUGGUGCAUGGUUGUCGUCAGCUCGUGUCGUGAGAUGUUGGGUUAAGUCCCGCAACGAGCGCAACCCUUAUCCUUAGUAGCCAGCAGGUAAAGCCGGGCACUCUAGGGAGACUGCCGGGGAUAACCCGGAGGAAGGCGGGGAUGACGUCAAAUCAUCAUGCCCCUUAUGUCCAGGGCUACACACGUGCUACAAUGGCGUAAACAAAGGGAAGCGAAGUGGUGACAUGGAGCAAAUCCCAGAAAUAACGCCCCAGUUCGGAUUGUAGUCUGCAACCCGACUACAUGAAGCCGGAAUCGCUAGUAAUCGCGGAUCAGAAUGCCGCGGUGAAUACGUUCCCGGGUCUUGUACACACCG
This 435-nucleotide ribosomal RNA is filed under the name uncultured bacterium. Its description in RNAcentral is "bacterial SSU rRNA". It matches the Rfam family "Bacterial small subunit ribosomal RNA", at positions 958 to 1392 of the family's 1533-position model. The record is from RNAcentral.